CACACUAUCAUUAACUGAAUCCAUAGGUUAAUGAGGCGAACCGGGGGAACUGAAACAUCUAAGUACCCCGAGGAAAAGAAAUCAACCGAGAUUCCCCCAGUAGCGGCGAGCGAACGGGGAGCAGCCCAGAGCCUGAAUCAGUGUGUGUGUUAGUGGAAGCGUCUGGAAAGGCGCGCGAUACAGGGUGACAGCCCCGUACACAAAAAUGCACAUGCUGUGAGCUCGAUGAGUAGGGCGGGACACGUGGUAUCCUGUCUGAAUAUGGGGGGACCAUCCUCCAAGGCUAAAUACUCCUGACUGACCGAUAGUGAACCAGUACCGUGAGGGAAAGGCGAAAAGAACCCCGGCGAGGGGAGUGAAAAAGAACCUGAAACCGUGUACGUACAAGCAGUGGGAGCACGCUUCGGCGUGUGACUGCGUACCUUUUGUAUAAUGGGUCAGCGACUUAUAUUCUGUAGCAAGGUUAACCGAAUAGGGGAGCCGAAGGGAAACCGAGUCUUAACUGGGCGUUAAGUUGCAGGGUAUAGACCCGAAACCCGGUGAUCUAGCCAUGGGCAGGUUGAAGGUUGGGUAACACUAACUGGAGGACCGAACCGACUAAUGUUGAAAAAUUAGCGGAUGACUUGUGGCUGGGGGUGAAAGGCCAAUCAAACCGGGAGAUAGCUGGUUCUCCCCGAAAGCUAUUUAGGUAGCGCCUCGUGAAUUCAUCUCCGGGGGUAGAGCACUGUUUCGGCAAGGGGGUCAUCCCGACUUACCAACCCGAUGCAAACUGCGAAUACCGGAGAAUGUUAUCACGGGAGACACACGGCGGGUGCUAACGUCCGUCGUGAAGAGGGAAACAACCCAGACCGCCAGCUAAGGUCCCAAAGUCAUGGUUAAGUGGGAAACGAUGUGGGAAGGCCCAGACAGCCAGGAUGUUGGCUUAGAAGCAGCCAUCAUUUAAAGAAAGCGUAAUAGCUCACUGGUCGAGUCGGCCUGCGCGGAAGAUGUAACGGGGCUAAACCAUGCAC
RNAcentral lists this ribosomal RNA (1010 nucleotides) under Escherichia coli. Its description in RNAcentral is "partial 23S ribosomal RNA". It matches the Rfam family "Bacterial large subunit ribosomal RNA", at positions 144 to 1194 of the family's 2925-position model. The record is from RNAcentral. Lineage: Bacteria; Pseudomonadati; Pseudomonadota; Gammaproteobacteria; Enterobacterales; Enterobacteriaceae.